Microcebus murinus (gray mouse lemur) is the source of this 3832-nucleotide non-coding RNA. Lineage: Eukaryota; Metazoa; Chordata; Mammalia; Primates; Cheirogaleidae. The record is from RefSeq and is a predicted model, not a curated record.
UAAAACCAUACUCAUAUAGCCAUCUAGUCUUUUAUAAAGCACACAAAAAUAUACAUAAAUAUAUUCAAACUAAUUUCUUGCAUGUUGGUCUCCUGCAAAGUUUCAUGGAAACUUCCAAUAAACAAGUGCUUGAGGCAAAUCAUGUGUGUAGAUUGCUGCAAUGGUGAAUAAGUUACCUCCCCACCAUAUCAUAUUAGCUAUAGUAGUACAGAUGGAUGCUAGUCCAUGAUUAAGUCAGGAGAGGAGGUGGUACCCCCCAAACCAAGACAGCUGAGGUGGUAGGUCAUGCCACCAGCCAAAAUGCCAAAUAGCUGCACCCACAAAUGUUGGACCCCUGAUCUUGGCAAGGAGGAGAUUGCUGCUUCAAAAUGGUACAUCUUAAAACCACACAGGAUAUGAGCUGUGGUCUCUCAUCCAAGUUUGAUGACCAUCCUGGUUAAAGUACAGUGGAUAACAGCAAACCCCAUACUUGCUACUAUUACUUCAUGAAUAUUAUCUGAUAAAUUCUUUGCUGUGUAGAAUUGGUAUGUGUGAGGUCUAGUUAUUUGCCUUUUUAAAUGAAAAUAUAAAAAUAUAAAAUAUAAUAAAAAUGUGAUAUAUUUAUAUAUACCUAUAUUGAUUUAUCAAGAACUUACUAUUCAUUAAUCUUUCAAUAAAUACUUUUUGAGGCUAACUGUGUGCCAUAAACUACGUACAACACAUACACAGCAUUGGGAAACAGGCAGAAAGCAAGAAUGGGGUUUGGGAUUAGGAUGUCUAGGUAUGUCUAGGUUAGAGUCCCAGUGUGGGUAGUAACUGGUGGUAUAACUUGAGCAAGUUACACUCUCUAACUUACAUUUUUUUGUUCCAUAGAAUGAAUUUGUUUGCAAGGUUGUCAUGGGGAUUAAUGAAUACGUAUGACUAGUACCUAAUAUGUUAUUAAUAUGACAACUAGAGUAUUCCACUUUGGUCAAUUUUUCACCACACUUUUCCUUUAUAAAGAAUCCUAGUAAUCAAGACAUAUAAAUGAAUCCUUCAUUUCAAAAACACAAAUGAUUAAGCAAAAAAUUGUGAGAAUAUUAGAUCCAGAUUAAAAAAAAAAACUCUUUACUAACCAUGGGGGGAGGGGUGCCUCUUACUGAAAUAGUCUAUUGAAGCACAGAUACAUAAAACUAAAAUGGUAUUUACAAAUAGCCUCUUCUAAAUUCACACUAAUAAUUAUUAAUUAUUAGGCCAUUUGUUUCAGUGGGAAAAAUAUCAAAUCUCAGUGACUUAAAAAGCAUACAAAAUAAAAAGCUUCUCAAGAAACCUCUUCACACACAAUUUCAUAGAACACAUCUAAAUAAGUCAGUUGUGUGGGUGGGUUGCUAGGGAAUGCUAUAGUUUAAUGUACUUAUGUGAUAGCUUUGAAAGCAUGAAUCCAUGUAGAAAUUAAAUUAUAAGAAUUAGGUGGUCAAAUCCAGCCACAAGCAUACAUUUUUUUAGUUUUUUUAAAUUUUGUUUGUAUAAUUAUGUUUAUAUGUGUUCAUAAGAGUUGCCAUUGUUAACACAUCCUAUUGAUAUCAUCUAUUUAAUCCCUCUUCAAGUUCAUUUUUCUUUUUCAUUUCAUCUCUUUUGGGGCAAAUGUAUAAGAUUUCAAAGAAGAAAAAGAUUAAUGCAGGAGAAUAGCAAUGAUAAUGAUUACAAUGAUAAGACAGUAUUAGUAUUGGAAUGACCUUUGCUUACAACUUUUGUGCCAAGCAAAGCCUAAUUUGUUAAGGAGUCUAGAUGGAGUGAACAGUUAUCUACCUGGUAUGGUGUAAGACUAUCAGGGAAACUUCUUUGUUCCUUACACACUCCCUUUUUCAUUGACUACAUUUUGCAAAAUCCUAAAGUAAAAGAUUGUUCUGUUUAAUUAAAGGCUUAAAAUGACAGUUCUCCUGGGAGGGCUUACUGUGAGCAACUGUCAAUCCCUUUUAUGUAAAAAAAUUUCUGAAAAGUUAAUAAGAAAAGGAAUUUAGAGGGGGCAUUGGCAAGGAGAGUCUCUCAAGUUAGUGCAUAAUAGAAUACGAUGGUGAGGGCAGCCAUUCAGUAGGAAAGUGUAGAUGAUAUCAUUAAGGACACAUUGCCUUUUCACAGUUUUCACUAUGCCCAGUGCUGCUCUACCCUAUGACUUACCAAGUGGCAGUGCUUAUUCUAUUUUUAAGUUUACUCUAUAUAUAGGUUCAACAUCUGGAUAAUCAUUGAAAAUUUCAAUCAGGGUCUCAAUAUAUUUGGGCAUUUAGAAAUAAAUGGUAAUCAACUAUUGUUCUUUUAACCUUCUUUCUAGAUGGAAAGAAUCAUAAUCUCAAAUGAUAUUCCAAAAUCACCCUGAGCAUUUUAACUUAAUCUAUUUGAGAAAAGAAUAAACCUGGAAAUGAUAAAAUGAAUAACUUUUCCUUUAAACUGAAUAUCAUGGAUAAAACUGUGGAGUUAUCUUGUUUGGCUAAGAUUACAUAUAAUUUUGGUACUACUGUGUACCCCAGGGGAAUAUGAAGGCAGCAUAUGAAUUUGUUUAUAUUCUAUUGCUUUUCAUUCAAUGAAGUCAAUAGGUAAAAAAGUAGUGUGAGAGAGAUAUUGUAUACAUUGUGCUAAACAAUUUGUUGUAUUUUCUUACUUGGUCUUUCUUAUUUAGGCUGCCUCUAUUUUUUUAAAGGCAUGAUAUGAGUGUGUUAAUCAUUUGCUUGGAUGAAAUAAAAUCCGCUAACAAUUACCUAGGCAAAACCUGGAGCAAUCUUGGUGUAUCUUAUGAAACCCAAGGACAAGAAGUACAGCUAAGGCCCUGCAAGAAACUAAAACUAAGAGCAACCAAACCAAGGCAAUCAAGACAGCCCAGAAACCAAGGCAACCAACUUACCGGCAUCCCUCCUUCUUUUUGAGUCCACAAACUUCACAGAGCUCUAUUUACAUCAGAAGGGACAUCAAGUACCUCAACACUCACUAAAAAUGAAAUCCUACAGCUCAGCCUGUCAACCAGCACGGAAAGUGUGUAGCUGCUGCCUUUCUUUGUUUGGCAGUAGCUAUGGUCAAUAGCAGCUUCUUAGCUGUCAUCUGCCGGCUUUGGCUAUUGAAGACCAUCUAACCUCUCUGGUUGACAAAGCCCAGUGACGGGCCUAACGGACUAACUAGGAUCAGGCUCCUUCACCUGCAACAGCCAAGUGUAAGUAGACAGAGCAUUGCAGCUCCCAUAUGGAUGGUGAAUAGUUUCUAGGAAAGGCUGCUGGAAAAACAGUCACAUAACAAUUGUAUCAAUCCAAGUUUACGGAUGAGAAAGUGGAGACUCAGAGAUAUCAGGCAAUUUAUGUAAGACAUGAUCUCAUGCAAUUGAUAGGUCAAGAACUUCAGUCCAGGCAUCUCAUACCAUGUCUUUUUUGUCUUUCCCCAGAGGGCUCUCUUUUUUAAGCAGUUUUUAGAUAAGUACCCUUAAUAUAAUCUUUCAAUUACACUUUUCUGUGAGUGUUCAAUUUAUGAAUAUUUUGGCACCCAUAAUUUAGAACAAGGAAAUUGCAUAAUAUAAAACAAGGAAAACCAAGGAAAAGCAAUCCACAUAUUCUGCUUAAUGUUAUUAAUGUAUACUUCAGUUAAGUCCCAUUAGUUAUUCUGGACAUCUCUGCUGUAAUCUAAAACCCCUCUAUAUUUUUCACUUGGAGAUCUGUUAGACAGGAUUCACUAAUCUUAUACUUAAAAAGAUAAAUCUCUUUGAUAUUUCAUGUUUUAUGUUUUGAUCCACUUUUUCUUUAAGGUUCUCAAAAUUUCUGAAAGCCUUAUUUUGUCAGUCACUGUAUGUUACUACCAUAUUUUGAACACAAACAUCUGUAUACAUGAUCUGGGAAAG